RNAcentral lists this ribosomal RNA (508 nucleotides) under uncultured bacterium. RNAcentral's name for it is "partial 16S ribosomal RNA". It matches the Rfam family "Bacterial small subunit ribosomal RNA", at positions 30 to 523 of the family's 1533-position model. The record is from RNAcentral.
AUUGAACGCUGGCGGCAUGCCUUACACAUGCAAGUCGAACGGCAGCGGGGGAGAAGCUUGCUUUUCCUGCCGGCGAGUGGCGAACGGGUGAGUAAUACAUCGGAACGUGCCCUGUAGAGGGGGAUAACUAGUCGAAAGAUUAGCUAAUACCGCAUACGACCUGAGGGUGAAAGUGGGGGACCGCAAGGCCUCAUGCUAUAGGAGCGGCCGAUGUCGGAUUAGCUAGUUGGUGGGGUAAAGGCCUACCAAGGCGACGAUCAGUAGCUGGUCUGAGAGGACGAUCGGCCACACUGGGACUGAGACACGGCCCAGACUCCUACGGGAGGCAGCAGUGGGGAAUUUUGGACAAUGGGCGAAAGCCUGAUCCAGCAAUGCCGCGUGUGUGAAGAGGCCCUUCGGGUUGUAAAGCAUUUUUGUCCGGAAAGAAAUGGCUCUGGUUAAUACCUGGGGUCGAUGACGGUACCGGAAGAAUAAGGGCCGGCUAACUACGUGCCAGCAGCCGCAGUAA